UGGGCUUCAGGAAACGUGAAUACUUGGGGUCUUGAAAGACCCAGGGUUGUCUAAGAUCUACAAAUGAUGGAGGCUGUGACCAAGUAUUGGUAGGUCCCCAACGGUGUCUUGAGCUUUCACCUUAAAGUCCUGCUCACAGCAUCUUCCUUUUGUGGAGGAUAUUACAACUUGAGGUUGUUUUUCACGUGCCUCAUCUCAUUUCAUGGUUACAAAACGACAUGAAGUCGAAAAGGACACAGCAUCCGUCUGUGUUUUCAAGAUGAGGCUCCUGAGGUUGGCCUGACGUCGUUGGUGACACUCCAGUCCUAGAACAAUUUCCCUGAGUCCUGGUUCCGUGCUUUCCCUACUCCCCCAAAUACAGAGGGAGACCAAGGGGAAGGAGCACUUGUCCUCUUUAUUUCGAAAAGGAAGAAACGAUAGAAAAUCAGACAAAGUAGAUACACGCUGGGAGGAUCAGUCGGCAAGGAGAAUAAUCAUGUGUCCAUAGUCUGAAUUGUUUUGACUGUGAUCUUCCAGAUAAGUUUUAAAAUCACUUUGUAAAUUUGUGUGAGAACUGAUUGGGAGAGCAUUGGAUUUAUCGACUGCCUUGGAGAAAAACGGCAUCUUUAUGAACUGGGGUUCUCAUCCAGAGCAGCUGCCUUGUCAUUAGAGCACUAAUCGGCGCUAUGGAGAGGUCCAGGCUCAGGUCCAGGGGAACUGAGGCUUCCUGCCAGCAGCCGACGGGGAACUUCCGUCCAAGCCUCGCGAGCGAGCCGGCGUGGAAGGGGAUUCUCCAGGCCUGUCAAGGUGUCCGGUCACGAUGGCGCCCGUCAGUGUCCCGACAGCACGAGAGGAUGGUGGCUGGAACCACCAGCUAAGCUCCAUCCACGUUUCUGACCGCAAAUGAGCUUUAAACAGGGGAAGGUGUGGGGAUAGAGCAGGAUCGCUGAGGCCCCUGAAGCCUGUACCUCUGAUCCCCAAACCCUCAAGGCCUGAGACUCAAAGGGCUCCCCAGAUGCCCAAGGUGAGGGGGAGUGGGAUACCAGCUGGUUUGAUUUUAAUAUGCCUCCCUCACCUUCUCCUACCUCACUCCUGCUCCAUCCUAAAAAUCACUCUUCUAAUGCACAAAGUUAAGCACAAGCCUUCUGUGCUGAAAAUGGCAUCCCAUUAAAUCUUUCGGAAUUUGCCAACAACCCAAUGGAAAAAUGGGCAAAAUACCUGAAUAGAUGUUUCUC
Phacochoerus africanus (Common warthog) is the source of this 1214-nucleotide long non-coding RNA. RefSeq lists it as uncharacterized. The record is from RefSeq and is a predicted model, not a curated record. Lineage: Eukaryota; Metazoa; Chordata; Mammalia; Artiodactyla; Suidae. The transcript is spliced from 4 exons.